This 453-nucleotide ribosomal RNA is filed under the name uncultured Desulfobacteraceae bacterium. RNAcentral's name for it is "bacterial SSU rRNA". It matches the Rfam family "Bacterial small subunit ribosomal RNA", at positions 930 to 1382 of the family's 1533-position model. Lineage: Bacteria; Pseudomonadati; Thermodesulfobacteriota; Desulfobacteria; Desulfobacterales; Desulfobacteraceae. The record is from RNAcentral.
CGGUGGAGCAUGUGGUUUAAUUCGACGCAACGCGAAGAACCUUACCUGGAUUUGACAUCCCGGGAAUCUUUCUGAAAGGAUUGAGUGCCCUUCGGGGAGCCCGGUGACAGGUGCUGCAUGGCUGUCGUCAGCUCGUGUCGCGAGAUGUUGGGUUAAGUCCCGCAACGAGCGCAACCCUUAUCUUUAGUUACCAUCAUUAAGUUGGGGACUCUAAAGAUACUGCCCCGGUUAACGGGGAGGAAGGUGGGGAUGACGUCAAGUCCUCAUGGCCUUUAUGUCCAGGGCUACACACGUGCUACAAUGGGUUGUACAAAGGGUUGCGAACUCGCGAGAGUAAGCCAAUCCCAAAAAGCAACUCUUAGUUCGGAUUGGAGUCUGCAACUCGACUCCAUGAAGCUGGAAUCGCUAGUAAUCGUGGAUCAGCAUGCCACGGUGAAUACGUUCCCGGGCCUU